CGCUAGCGGCAGGCUUAACACAUGCAAGUCGAGGGGCAUCAUGACUGAACUUUCGGGUUCGGUUGAUGGCGACCGGCGCAAGGGUGCGUAACGCGUGAGCAACUUGCCCUUAUCAGGAGGAUAACCGUUGGAAACGACGACUAAUACUCCAUAGCACAUAUUUGAGGCAUCUCUCAUAUGUUAAAGAACUUCGGAUAAGGAUAGGCUCGCGUGACAUUAGCUGGAUGGCGGGGUAACGGCCCACCAUGGCGACGAUGUCUAGGGGUUCUGAGAGGAAGGUCCCCCACACUGGAACUGAGACACGGUCCAGACUCCUACGGGAGGCAGCAGUGAGGAAUAUUGGUCAAUGGCCGAGAGGCUGAACCAGCCAUGCCGCGUGAAGGUGACGGCCCUAUGGGUCUUAAACUUCUUUUGUAAGGGAGCAAUAAGGUUCACGUGUGGACUGAUGAGAGUACCUUACGAAUAAGCAUCGGCUAACUCCGUGCCAGCAGCCGCGGUAAUACGGGGGAUGCGAGCGUUAUCCGGAUUUAUUGGGUUUAAAGGGUGCGUAGGCGGCCUGUUAAGUCAGCGGUGAAAUUCAGGGGCUCAACCUCUGCCGUGCCGUUGAUACUGGCGGGCUAGAAUGCGGAUGCCGUUGGAGGAAUGUGUGGUGUAGCGGUGAAAUGCAUAGAUAUCACACAGAACACCGAUUGCGAAGGCAUCUGACGAAUCCGCAAUUGACGCUGAUGCACGAAAGCGUGGGGAUCAAACAGGAUUAGAUACCCUGGUAGUCCACGCUGUAAACGAUGAUGACUAACCGUCGGCGAUACACUGUCGGUGGCCAAGCGAAAGCGAUAAGUCAUCCACCUGGGGAGUACGACCGCAAGGUUGAAACUCAAAGGAAUUGACGGGAGCCCGCACAAGCAGUGGAGUAUGUGGUUUAAUUCGACGCAACGCGAAGAACCUUACCAGGACUUGACAUCCCGAGAACCCGACGUAAUGGUUGGGGUGCUCCUUCGGGAGAAUUCGGAGACAGGUGGUGCAUGGUUGUCGUCAGCUCGUGUCGUGAGAUGUUGGGUUAAGUCCCGCAACGAGCGCAACCCCUACGGUUAGUUGCUACGCAAGAGCACUCUGGCCGGACUGCCGUUGACAAAACGGAGGAAGGUGGGGACGACGUCAAAUCAUCAUGCCCCUUACGCUCUGGGCUACACACGUACUACAAUGGCGCAAACAAAGGGGAGCGAAGCCGCGAGGCGGAGCAAAUCCCAAAAAAGGCGCCCCAGUUCGGACUGCAGGCUGCAACUCGCCUGCACGAAGUUGGAAUUGCUAGUAAUCGCGGAUCAGCAUGCCGCGGUGAAUACGUUCCCGGGCUUUG
RNAcentral lists this ribosomal RNA (1354 nucleotides) under uncultured bacterium. RNAcentral's name for it is "partial 16S ribosomal RNA". It matches the Rfam family "Bacterial small subunit ribosomal RNA", at positions 34 to 1383 of the family's 1533-position model. The record is from RNAcentral.